UGCAUCUGCCGGAAUUGAACUCGGGCCGCUCGCGUGGCAGGCGAGCAUUCUACCACUGAACUACC
RNAcentral lists this transfer RNA (65 nucleotides) under Cordylochernes scorpioides. Its description in RNAcentral is "tRNA-Gly". Lineage: Eukaryota; Metazoa; Arthropoda; Arachnida; Pseudoscorpiones; Chernetidae. The record is from RNAcentral.